GAUGAUAGUUUAUGUAAAAAAAGUCAGGAUUAACGAACCAAAAAAGGCAAGACCAAAAUAUUUCAUCCUAGCCCCCAAAAAAUAAAAUGGUAACUCCCUAAAUUUAACAUGUUUAAAGCCAAAUAUUACCAGUCCAGUUUAAGAAAGGGAAAAUCAUGAUUUACACACUGGAUUAUGUUGCCUUUGGCCAAAUAAAAAUAUAUGUGUGGUUCCAGUUACAUACUUUUAAAAAACAUGGUUGGUAGGUCAGCAUUUUUUAUUUUUUUUUCAAAUUUUUAUUUUUGAUUGUCAAAAUCCGGGAAAAAAUCGGGUGCUUAUAUAUAAUUACUGAAAUUGUUUCCGCUAUUAUACACGCCCCAACCGGAAGUCCACCAUUUUUACAUGUGUUUGGUUGUAAAAUAUACAGUCAUGAUACGUUUUUAGUUAAUUUUGUUGCAUUCUGUUAUGAAUUCUUGAAUUUUAGCCGUAACAGAUACUUCUGAUGGAAAUUUAAAUGACAGAAAUCUAUGAAUUUAAUUAUUUUAAUUCACAUUCCUCAAAAUAUGAUC
Molecule: long non-coding RNA, 548 nt
Filed under: Mytilus galloprovincialis (Mediterranean mussel)
Lineage: Eukaryota; Metazoa; Mollusca; Bivalvia; Mytilida; Mytilidae
Source: RNAcentral